GCCUCCGCUCCAAGAUCGAGGAACUGCUCUUCCUGGCCGCUCGCCUCUGCUCCAUCCUGGCCGCCUCGCAUCCGCCUCCAGCCCAAAGUCUGGCAUCAAGGGAGACAUGAAGCUGAGGGUGGUCGUCAUGGACAGCGAGGCUGCGGCGGUGACGGCGACGGAGAGGAGCACCGCCAAGGAGAAGCUCUAGGAACCUUGAAGAAAAUAAACUAGCAACUUAGGGAACAGAUAUUCCUUAGGAUCUUGUUCCCGACAGAAGUUGCUUCAGGAAUCCCUAAAGAAGGAGCGCCAGCUAAGAUGCAGAACAGCUGCGGCCAGCGUCGAUGUGUUCGCGUUCGAAGACCUAACGGCUGCAGAGCGGAAGCGGUUGACGGAGGGAGCGGUGGACGGUGAGG
Lolium rigidum is the source of this 395-nucleotide long non-coding RNA. RefSeq lists it as uncharacterized. NCBI's taxonomy places the organism in Eukaryota, Viridiplantae, Streptophyta, Magnoliopsida, Poales, Poaceae. The record is from RefSeq and is a predicted model, not a curated record. The transcript is spliced from 4 exons.